UACGUAGGGUGCAAGCGUUACUCGGAAUUACUGGGCGUAAAGCGUGCGCAGGCGGUUUUGUAAGUCUGUCGUGAAAGCCCCGGGCUCGACCUGGGAAUUGCGAUGGAGACUGCAAGGCUUGAAUCUGGCAGAGGGGGGUAGAAUUCCACGUGUAGCAGUGAAAUGCGUAGAGAUGUGGAGGAACACCGAUGGCGAAGGCAGCCCCCUGGGUCAAGAUUGACGCUCAUGCACGAAAGCGUGGGGAGCAAACAGG
This 253-nucleotide ribosomal RNA is filed under the name uncultured bacterium. RNAcentral's name for it is "partial 16S ribosomal RNA". It matches the Rfam family "Bacterial small subunit ribosomal RNA", at positions 524 to 776 of the family's 1533-position model. The record is from RNAcentral.